UACCAGCACCCCGAGUGGUCGGGACGUUUAUUGGGCCUAAAGCAUCCGUAGCCGGUUCUACAAGUCUUCCGUUAAAUCCAGCUGCUUAACAGAUGGGCUGCGGAAGAUACUAUGGAGCUAGGAGGCGGGAGAGGCAAGCGGUACUCGAUGGGUAGGGGUAAAAUCCAUUGAUCCAUUGAAGACCACCAGUGGCGAAGGCGGCUUGCCAGAACGCGCUCGACGGUGAGGGAUGAAAGCUGGGGGAGCAAACCGG
RNAcentral lists this ribosomal RNA (253 nucleotides) under uncultured bacterium. RNAcentral's name for it is "partial 16S ribosomal RNA". It matches the Rfam family "Archaeal small subunit ribosomal RNA", at positions 474 to 727 of the family's 1478-position model. The record is from RNAcentral.